UUGAAAGGGAAACGAUUGAAGUCAGUCAUGCUGGUGGGAAUCAACUUAGGGGAAACUCUAGGUGCACUUCUUCGCUUGGCAGGUUAACGUCGAUCUUGAAUGCCAUAAAAUAAUUGGGGGAAGGUAGCUCCUUCGGGAGUGUUAUAGCCCUUGAUAGAUGUGAUGUUUGGGGUCGAGGAUUGCAACGGAUACCCUUUGGGGCUAGCCGCCUGAUCUCUAAUCGGUGUUGGGUUACGGAUAGCAUGCUGNCCNNNNNNUAAUUACUGGUUAAAAGGUUAGAGCGUGCAUAAAUUCGUUAAGGAUGUUGACGUA
RNAcentral lists this ribosomal RNA (312 nucleotides) under uncultured Glomeromycotina. RNAcentral describes it as "partial large subunit ribosomal RNA". Lineage: Eukaryota; Fungi; Glomeromycota. The record is from RNAcentral.